This 522-nucleotide long non-coding RNA is filed under the name Ananas comosus (pineapple). RNAcentral describes it as "long non-coding RNA (ACOM_LNC016536)". Lineage: Eukaryota; Viridiplantae; Streptophyta; Magnoliopsida; Poales; Bromeliaceae. The record is from RNAcentral.
UAUGAUCUAGAGUAUUUAAAACUUUUAGAAAAUAAAUUUCGUAAUUUUUCGAAAUCAUAAUAAAGUCCAUCAAAUGGGCAUAAAAUGAAUGGUCAAAAUCGAACGAUGUCUUAAAAAUGGAUGAUCGGAUCCUUCAAUUUAAGAUUGGAGUUAUUGAUCUUUAUCUAGGUAGUGAAUAGAAUUUUCUAUCAAAAAUUCAACCUAUUCGGAUUCUUUUGCACCGUUAAACUAGCAAGUAUUCCAUACCGGCCGUUAAAAAUUGUCAAUUUUGUGAGCUUUUGAUCGUAAAAUAAAUGAUGUCGAAAAAUUAUGAAAUUUGAUUUCUAAAUGUUUCAAAUGCUCUAGAUAACAUUUAACGGUGUGGAUCGUCGAUUCGGAAGCUCUAUCAUCGAAAACAACUUAUGAGUACGAGGGCGAUCGUACUCAUAAUAGUAUAGUAGGUGGACUAUAUAUAUAUAUAUAUAUAUAUAUGAGUUUGACUACUAUACUAUCGAUAAUACUAAGUUCUUGGUACUAUUGAGU